UUGCCAGUGUUUCAAUAGCUAAGGCAUAUAAAUUCAUAGAGAGCGGACAGCCUUGUCUAACUGAUCUUGUAAUUAAAAUUUCUUCUGUUAACUGACCAUUGACUUGUAUUUUACUUUUUAUAUCUUUAUAUAGUAUCUUAAUCCAUCUUACGAAUUCUACUGGUAGGUUCAUUUUCUUUAAAACUUUAAUAAGAAAUUCAUGUUUAAUCUUGUCGAAAGCUUUUUCUUGGUCAAAAUUUAUUACGGUUACGGUUAUAUGUUUUUGGUGGACGACUUACCAAUUGGUAAUUGCGCCCUGGUAACUAAAUUUGGAAUUAGUCCAUUAUAGUAAUAUUUUACUUUAGAGAUAAUUCCAUUUAAUUAAAAAUUAAAGAAAAUAAAUAUAAAUUCUAGGCGACCCUUUUUGUUUACAGGUGGUGCGCCUUAUUAACCUGUACUAGUUUAAACUUAUUUUAUUAAAUUUAAAUAGAAAUAAAACUUAUAAAACAAAUGAAUGUUUUUUUUUUUUUUUAAACUUUUAUAAGGGGUUAAGAAAUUUGGUUUUUGAGACUUCGGGUUUUGCCCUAUACUUUUCCAUCUAUUUUUUAACUAGAAGAAAAAUGCUGUAUGUUUUUUGUUUUUGUUUUUGUUUUUUGUUGGUUUUUUUUGUUGUUUUUUUUUCUCCAUCUGUGGUUGUUAGUGUUAUUGUUAUAAAUAACGUUUUGUGUCACUUAAUUAUGUUUGUUUUAAUUAUGAUAGUCAGUUGCUUUGUCGUAUUUCUUGAAUACUAUAAGUAGACUAUGUUUGAUCAGUUGCCCCA
Molecule: long non-coding RNA, 799 nt
Filed under: Mytilus galloprovincialis (Mediterranean mussel)
Lineage: Eukaryota; Metazoa; Mollusca; Bivalvia; Mytilida; Mytilidae
Source: RNAcentral